This 293-nucleotide ribosomal RNA is filed under the name uncultured bacterium. Its description in RNAcentral is "partial 16S ribosomal RNA". It matches the Rfam family "Bacterial small subunit ribosomal RNA", at positions 337 to 622 of the family's 1533-position model. The record is from RNAcentral.
UCCUACGGGAGGCAGCAGUAGGGAAUUUUCGUCAAUGGGCGCAAGCCUGAACGAGCAAUGCCGCGUGAACGAGGAAGGUCUUCGGAUCGUAAAGUUCUGUUGAAGGGGAAAAAGAGCGGAGAGAGGAAAUGGUCUCCGAUUGAUAUUACCCUUCGAGGAAGUCACGGCUAACUACGUGCCAGCAGCCGCGGUAAUACGUAGGGGGCGAGCGGUAUCCGGAAUGAUUGGGCGUAAAGGGUGCGUAGGCGGCCUGCUAAGUCUGGAGUGAAAGGGAACGGCUCAACCGGUACAGG